Gossypium arboreum is the source of this 81-nucleotide non-coding RNA. The record is from Rfam. Lineage: Eukaryota; Viridiplantae; Streptophyta; Magnoliopsida; Malvales; Malvaceae.
GUCAAUAUCGCCGAAUUGGUGUAAUGCGCCAGUUUCAGGUACUGGUCCGAGAAGGCAUGAGUUAGAAUCUCAUUCUUCACA